UACGUAGGGUGCAAGCGUUUAAUCGGAAUACUGGGCGUAAAGCGUGCGCAGGCGGUCCGUUAAGACAGAUGUGAAAUCCCCGGGCUUAACCUGGGAACUGCAUUUGUGACUGGCGGACUCGAGUAUGGCAGAGGGGGGUAGAAUUCCACGUGUAGCAGUGAAAUGCGUAGAGAUGUGGGAGGAAUACCGAAUGGCCGAAGGCAGCCCCCUGGGCCAAUACUGACGCUCAUGCGACGAAAGCGUGGGGAGCAAACAGG
Molecule: ribosomal RNA, 257 nt
Filed under: uncultured bacterium
Lineage: Bacteria
Description: partial 16S ribosomal RNA
Rfam family: Bacterial small subunit ribosomal RNA
Source: RNAcentral